RNAcentral lists this ribosomal RNA (497 nucleotides) under uncultured bacterium. RNAcentral's name for it is "partial 16S ribosomal RNA". It matches the Rfam family "Bacterial small subunit ribosomal RNA", at positions 28 to 507 of the family's 1533-position model. The record is from RNAcentral.
GAUGAACGCUGGCGGCGUGCCUAAUACAUGCAAGUCGAGCGAACGGACGAGAAGCUUGCUUCUCUGAUGUUAGCGGCGGACGGGUGAGUAACACGUGGAUAACCUACCUAUAAGACUGGGAUAACUUCGGGAAACCGGAGCUAAUACCGGAUAAUAUUUUGAACCGCAUGGUUCAAAAGUGAAAGACGGUCUUGCUGUCACUUAUAGAUGGAUCCGCGCUGCAUUAGCUAGUUGGUAAGGUAACGGCUUACCAAGGCAACGAUGCAUAGCCGACCUGAGAGGGGGAUCGGCCACACUGGAACUGAGACACGGUCCAGACUCCUACGGGAGGCAGCAGUAGGGAAUCUUCCGCAAGGGGCGAAAGCCUGACGGAGCAACGCCGCGUGAGUGAUGAAGGUCUUCGGAUCUUAAAACUCUGUUAUUAGGGAAGAACAUAUGUGUAAGUAACUGUGCACAUCUUGACGGUACCUAAUCAGAAAGCCACGGCUAACUACGUG